RNAcentral lists this ribosomal RNA (500 nucleotides) under uncultured bacterium. Its description in RNAcentral is "partial 16S ribosomal RNA". It matches the Rfam family "Bacterial small subunit ribosomal RNA", at positions 30 to 523 of the family's 1533-position model. The record is from RNAcentral.
AUUGAACGCUGGCGGCAGGCCUAACACAUGCAAGUCGAGCGGAUGAAGGGAGCUUGCUCCUGGAUUCAGCGGCGGACGGGUGAGUAAUGCCUAGGAAUCUGCCUGGUAGUGGGGGACAACGUUUCGAAAGGAACGCUAAUACCGCAUACGUCCUACGGGAGAAAGCAGGGGACCUUCGGGCCUUGCGCUAUCAGAUGAGCCUAGGUCGGAUUAGCUAGUUGGUGGGGUAAAGGCUCACCAAGGCGACGAUCCGUAACUGGUCUGGGAGGAUGAUCAGUCACACUGGAACUGGGACACGGUCCAGACUCCUACGGGAGGCAGCAGUGGGGAAUAUUGGACAAUGGGCGAAAGCCUGAUCCAGCCAUGCCGCGUGUGUGAAGAAGGUCUUCGGAUUGUAAAGCACUUUAAGUUGGGAGGAAGGGUUGUAGAUUAAUACUCUGCAAUUUUGACGUUACCGACAGAAUAAGCACCGGCUAACUCUGUGCCAGCAGCCGCCGUAA